RNAcentral lists this transfer-messenger RNA (367 nucleotides) under Bacteroidia. RNAcentral describes it as "SB11 sp008933805 Standard tmRNA". It matches the Rfam family "transfer-messenger RNA". Rfam says of the family: Bacterial tmRNA, also known as 10Sa RNA or SsrA, is named for its dual tRNA and mRNA-like properties. Its role is to liberate the mRNA from a stalled ribosome. Lineage: Bacteria; Pseudomonadati; Bacteroidota. The record is from RNAcentral.
GGGGCUGACUGGAAUUGACGGGUAGAGCGGUUUGUGUGUAAGCAUGCAGGGCCUUGUGCGGAUGCCCUAUAAUCUGAACGCUCAAAAAACAAACGGCGAAAAUAACUUCGCUUUGGCUGCCUAAUCAGGACGAUUACGCUUUGCCAACCGUUCCGAUAGGUUCAUCCGAUAGCUUAUCAUCAGGAACGGUCAAUAUAUCGGGUAUUUACGGGCGAUUGUUGCUAACCCGAUAAAUUAUUAGCAACCUAAGGUAGUGUUAUGGCAAUUGGCAGGCCAAGCAAUACCCGAAAAUAACUGCCAAUAAGCAUGUAGAAAGCGCAACAAAUUCCUGCUCCGGACAGGGGUUCGACUCCCCUCAGCUCCACUU